Molecule: ribosomal RNA, 460 nt
Filed under: uncultured bacterium
Lineage: Bacteria
Description: partial 16S ribosomal RNA
Rfam family: Bacterial small subunit ribosomal RNA
Source: RNAcentral
CCUACGGGAGGCAGCAGUGAGGAAUAUUGGUCAAUGGACGAGAGUCUGAACCAGCCAAGUAGCGUGAAGGAUGAAUGCUCUAUGGGUUGUAAACUUCUUUUAUAUGGGAAUAAAACAGGGUAUGCAUACCCUCUUGUAUGUACCAUAUGAAUAAGGAUCGGCUAACUCCGUGCCAGCAGCCGCGGUAAUACAGAGGAUCCGAGCGUUAUCCGGAUUUAUUGGGUUUAAAGGGAGCGUAGGUGGAUUGUUAAGUCAGUUGUGAAAGUUUGCGGCUCAACCGUAAAAUUGCAGUUGAAACUGGCAGGCUUGAGUACAGUAGAGGUGGGCGGAAUUCGUGGUGUAGCGGUGAAAUGCUUAGAUAUCACGAAGAACUCCGAUUGCGAAGGCAGCUCACUGGACUGCAACUGACACUGAUGCUCGAAAGUGUGGGUAUCAAACAGGAUUAGAUACCCUGGUAGUC